Molecule: ribosomal RNA, 497 nt
Filed under: uncultured bacterium
Lineage: Bacteria
Description: partial 16S ribosomal RNA
Rfam family: Bacterial small subunit ribosomal RNA
Source: RNAcentral
GAUGAACGCUGGCGGCGUGCCUAAUACAUGCAAGUCGAGCGAACGGACGAGAAGCUUGCUUCUCUGAUGUUAGCGGCGGACGGGUGAGUAACACGUGGAUAACCUACCUAUGAGGCUGGGGUAACUUCGGGAAACCGGAGCUAAUACCGGAUAAGAUUUUGAACCGCAUGGUUCAAAAGAGAAAGACGGUCUUGCUGUCACUAAUAGAUGGAUCCGCGCUGCAUUAGCUAGUUGGUAAGGUAACGGCUUACCAAGGCAACGAUGCAUAGCCGACCUGAGAGGGUGAUCGGCCACACUGGAACUGAGACACGGUCCAGACUCCUACGGGAGGCAGCAGUAGGGAAUCUUCCGCAAUGGGCGAAAGCCUGACGGAGCAACGCCGCGUGAGUGAUGAAGGUCUUCGGAUCGUAAAACUCUGUUAGUAGGGAAGAACAUAUGUGUAAGUAACUGUGCACAUCUUGACGGUACCUAAUCAGAAAGCCCCGGCUAACUACGUG